Molecule: long non-coding RNA, 863 nt
Organism: Aegilops tauschii subsp. strangulata
Lineage: Eukaryota; Viridiplantae; Streptophyta; Magnoliopsida; Poales; Poaceae
Source: RefSeq, a predicted model, not a curated record
CGUCUGAUGAAACAUAAUCCUUCCCACGCUCACACCCUACCCUAUUACCCUCUCACCUACGACGCCGCCCCCGUUCCCCACGGACGCCAUGGCGGCCACAGCCUUCCGAUCCUCCUAUGAACGCAUUGCUGCCUGCGACACCGCCUAACCACGGUCUCCACUGGUGCCGCGAUGGCCGCGGCCUCCACUCAGAUCCAUCCGCUGUUGACCCCAUAUCCUCCCUCACGACGGGAUCCGGCCUCCACCACUGUGCAUUGGUGCGACGGGAUAUCGGGAUCCACCACUCCUCGGCCGCCGCUCGACCUCCACGACUGCGCCUCGCCAAUGCUUGGUUCCCCGCAUCCUGCCCUUUAUCGGUAUGGACUCGUGCUAUUCGACCCCAUGGUGCCGUGCUGGACGCGUGCUCCGCGGUCCUCCCCUCCCUCCAUGGUCUCGUAUAGUCAAAGUACGAUGGCGAGCCCUGGCACGGACGCGUGGGCUACUGCUGUUCUGGCUGGAGAACACCUAUCAGAUGUCCUACAGUGCAGGCUGCAGGCAUGAACUAUGUAUAUAAAUGAUGAAUGGGUCCUGCCUUGAACCAUCAGCAGAUUAGCGUUGCUUGCGUUGAUCAAACGUUUGCCCUGGACAUCCUGCUUAACGUCGACGACGGUGGCAAGACCACAGGCUUGAUAUAAUCACGCUCCCGCUCGCUCGGCCUCCUACCCCGCACGGGACGAGAUCGGCACAAUGAUGUCAACCACUUCCAGGUCGCCUAGGCCUUCCGCGCAUUUGACCAAGGCAAUGGAGGAUGCAUCACAACUGCCCAGCUUGUGCGCUCCAUGGUGCCAUUACAAGUGGCUGGAGGAAUGGUGUAUGCUCACAAG